Molecule: ribosomal RNA, 468 nt
Filed under: uncultured bacterium
Lineage: Bacteria
Description: partial 16S ribosomal RNA
Rfam family: Bacterial small subunit ribosomal RNA
Source: RNAcentral
GAUGAACGCUGGCGGCGUGCUUAACACAUGCAAGUCGAACGGAAAGGCCCAAGCUUGCUUGGGUACUCGAGUGGCGAACGGGUGAGUAACACGUGGGUGAUCUGCCCUGCACUUCGGGAUAAGCCUGGGAAACUGGGUCUAAUACCGGAUAGGACCACUUCUUGGAUGUUGUGGUGGAAAGUUUUUUCGGUGUGGGAUGAGCUCGCGGCCUAUCAGCUUGUUGGUGGGGUAAUGGCCUACCAAGGCGUCGACGGGUAGCCGGCCUGAGAGGGUGUACGGCCACAUUGUGACUGAGAUACGGCCCAGACUCCUACGGGAGGCAGCAGUGGGGAAUAUUGCGCAAUGGGCGCAAGCCUGAUGCAGAGACGCCGCGUGGGGGAUGACGGCCUUCGGGUUGUAAACUCCUUUCGCUAGGGACGAAGCGUUUUUGUGACGGUACCUGGAGAAGAAGCACCGGCUAACUACGUG